AUUGAACGCUGGCGGCAGGCCUAACACAUGCAAGUCGAGCGGAUGAAGGGAGCUUGCUCCUGGCUUCAGCGGAGGACGGGUGAGUAAUGCCUAGGAAUCUGCCUGGUAGUGGGGGAUAACGUCCGGAAACGGGCGCUAAUACCGCAUACGUCCUGAGGGAGAAAGUGGGGGAUCUUCGGACCUCACGCUAUCAGCUGAGCCUAGGUCGGAUUAGCUAGUUGGUGGGGUAAAGGCCUACCAAGGCGACGAUCCGUAACUGGUCUGAGAGGAUGAUCAGUCACACUGGAACUGAGACACGGUCCAGACUCCUACGGGAGGCAGCAGUGGGGAAUUUUGGACAAUGGGCGAAAGCCUGAUCCAGCCAUGCCGCGUGUGUGAAGAAGGUCUUCGGAUUGUAAAGCACUUUAAGUUGGGAGGAAGGGCAGUAAGUUAAUACCUUGCUGUUUUGACGUUACCAACAGAAUAAGCACCGGCUAACUUCGUG
This 484-nucleotide ribosomal RNA is filed under the name uncultured bacterium. RNAcentral's name for it is "partial 16S ribosomal RNA". It matches the Rfam family "Bacterial small subunit ribosomal RNA", at positions 30 to 507 of the family's 1533-position model. The record is from RNAcentral.